RNAcentral lists this ribosomal RNA (237 nucleotides) under Escherichia coli. RNAcentral's name for it is "partial 16S ribosomal RNA". It matches the Rfam family "Bacterial small subunit ribosomal RNA", at positions 1 to 234 of the family's 1533-position model. The record is from RNAcentral. Lineage: Bacteria; Pseudomonadati; Pseudomonadota; Gammaproteobacteria; Enterobacterales; Enterobacteriaceae.
AAAUUGAAGAGUUUGAUCAUGGCUCAGAUUGAACGCUGGCGGCAGGCCUAACACAUGCAAGUCGAACGGUAACAGGAAGCAGCUUGCUGCUUCGCUGACGAGUGGCGGACGGGUGAGUAAUGUCUGGGAAACUGCCUGAUGGAGGGGGAUAACUACUGGAAACGGUAGCUAAUACCGCAUAACGUCGCAAGACCAAAGGGGGGGACCUUCGGGCCUCUUGCCAUCGGAUGUGCCCAG